RNAcentral lists this long non-coding RNA (449 nucleotides) under Androctonus crassicauda. Lineage: Eukaryota; Metazoa; Arthropoda; Arachnida; Scorpiones; Buthidae. The record is from RNAcentral.
UAAGUGGUUAAUCUAAUCAACAAAUAUGGAUUCUGUAUCUUUAUAUAACGUACAAGAAAUUGGCCGAGAUUGACUUAAGACACUUUCACUCUAAACAUGUGCAAGGAAAAGUCAAUCAUAACGACUUAACUCUGGAUAAGCAAUGUAUUGUAUUGUACAUCUUUUAUGUGUAUAGUGUUACAUUUAUGUGUACAGCGUUACAUUUUGCAUGUUGAAUACACCACAUUCAUUUUUGAUUUUCUAAAAGUGUUUUGUUACUGGCUUGCGUCACGUGGUUCUUCAUCACCUUCCUCUACAUUAUUAGGUUCAUCGAUUAUCUCUUCAUGGUAUGGCAAAGGUCCAAUAUCUUCAACAUCAUUGGAGAUAUUUAGAUUCAAGAAAAACGUGUGAUACACCGGGGGAAUAAACAGUAACAUAUCGAUGAUAUCUUGCAUUUUCAACUCCCCAAC